UCACGAGGUUCCAGAUAGUUAGGUACAGAAAAUAGCUCAUAAUCGAUACAAUACCGCUUCGUACAAUAACAAGCGAAUUCCUAACACUUUGUGUUCACUUCUUAUAACCUCAAGCUAUAGAGUAUUUAUAGAUAAGAAACUGCCAGAGAAAACUUCAGCAAAUCCAGAAGAUAUUAUGUUGUGUUUUGUUACAUUGAACGAUGUCCGCUAGAGGCGCUGGCGAGUUUAACCUAGGGAAACUUAUCGAAUACGUUAGUGAUGCCAUCGUUGUUACAUACAAUAAUUAAUUUUUUAAUAAUAUAGAUUUAAAAAGCUUAAAACAAAAAAUAUAAUUAUAUUUUAAUGAAAUCUUGCAAUCGUAGUUUUUAUAUGUAAUUGAUUGUUUUGUCACCUUGAACGCUCUUUCCAAAAUUUCUUUUUAAUAACGAAAACAAAGUAUGUAAUGUUAGUAUCUAUGUAUAAGAAUUUCCUAAAGCUGCAAAAUAAAAACAUUUUUUUUAAUU
Molecule: long non-coding RNA, 503 nt
Organism: Pieris napi
Lineage: Eukaryota; Metazoa; Arthropoda; Insecta; Lepidoptera; Pieridae
Exons: 2
Source: RefSeq, a predicted model, not a curated record